Molecule: ribosomal RNA, 312 nt
Filed under: Akis tingitana
Lineage: Eukaryota; Metazoa; Arthropoda; Insecta; Coleoptera; Tenebrionidae
Description: partial 12S ribosomal RNA
Source: RNAcentral
GAUACCCUAUUAUUGUAAGUGUAAAAGUUUAAACUGGAAUUAUUACUAGCUAUGGUCUUCAAAGUUAAAUAUUUUGGCGGUAUUUUAGUCUUUUCAGAGGAACCUGUUUUUUAAUCGAUAAUCCACGAUGAAUCGUACUUUAUCUUUAAAUUUAUAUAUCGUCGUGAAAUAAAUAUUUUAUAAGGAUUUAAAUGUUUAGGAUUUUCAAUUAUAAAUUAAUUCAGAUCAAGGUGUAGUUGAUGUUAAAGUAAAAAUGGGUUACAUUAGGUUUACUUGUGGUUUGUUAUUUGAAAAUUAGCAAUAAAUUGGAUU